AGCCUGUUGGAAGUGACGGAUGAUGUAAGCUGUGAGAACUAAUGGAUUGUUCUUGCUGUGAAGUUGUCCCAGGAAAUAACUCCAACAUAUAGACCGUACCAAAACCGACACAGGUAGGCUGGUAGAGUAUACCAAGGCGCUUGAGAGAACUGUACUGAAGGAACUAGACAAAUUGCACGCGUAACUUCGGGAUAAGCGUGACCCAUAUAUACGCAGGUACUUAUGGGUGUCACAAAAGAGGGAGUGCCGACUGUUUAUUAAAAACACAGGUCUAUGCAAACACGUAAGUGGAAGUAUAUGGACUGACGCCUGCCCAGUGCUGGAAGAUUAAUCGGAGGGGUGCAAGCCCUGAUGCCAAGUCCCAGUGAACGGCGGCCGUAACAAUAACGGUCCUAAGGUAGCGAAAUUCCUUGUCGGGUAAGUUCCGACGCGCAUGAAUGGCGUAACGAGUUCUCCAUUGUCUCCAGUACAGACUCAGCGAAGUUGAAUUCUCCGUGAAGAUGCGGAGUUUCUGCGGUUAGACGGAAAGACCCUGUGCACCUUUACUAUAGUUUUGCAGUGGUAUUAGGAACAAAUUGUGUAGAAUAGGUGGGAGGCUUUGAAGCUUUGGCGCUAGCCAGAGUGGAGCCACCAGUGAAAUACCACCCUAUUUGUUUCUGAUAUCUAACCGCGACGAAUGAAUCUUCGUCCGGGACCCUGCAUGACGGGUAGUUUGACUGGGGCGGUCGCCUCCCAAAUUGUAACGGAGGCGCGCGAUGGUAGGCUUAGGACGGUCGGAAAUCGUCUGGUAAGUGUAAUGGCACAAGCCUGCCUGACUGUGAGAGUGACAAUUCAAACAUACGAAAGUAGGUCAUAGUGAUCCGGUGGUUCCUCGUGGUAGGGCCAUCGCUCAACGGAUAAAAGGUACGCCGGGGAUAACAGGCUGAUGAUGAUCCAAGAGUCCAUAUCGACGAUAUCGUUUGGCACCUCGAUGUCGGCUCAUCACAUCCUGGGGCUGGAGAAGGUCCCAAGGGUAUGGCUGUUCGCCAUUUAAAGUGGUACGUGAGCUGGGUUUAGAACGUCGUGAGACAGUUCGGUCCCUAUCUGCCGCAGAUGUAAGGAAAUUUGAGAGGAUCUGACUUUAGUACGAGAGGACCGAGUUGGACGUAUCUCUGGUGGACCAGUUGUCAUGCCAAUGGCACAGCUGGGUAGCUAUAUACGGACGGGAUAACUGCUGAAUGCAUCUAAGCAGGAAACCCACCUCAAAACUAGAUUUCCCCAUUAGGAUCGUGGUAGACUACCACGUUGAUAGGACGCAUGUGGAAUACCCGCAAGGGUUGGAGCUAAGCGUUACUAAUAAUCCGAUUGU
RNAcentral lists this ribosomal RNA (1348 nucleotides) under metagenome. RNAcentral's name for it is "bacterial LSU rRNA". It matches the Rfam family "Bacterial large subunit ribosomal RNA", at positions 1540 to 2925 of the family's 2925-position model. The record is from RNAcentral.